GAUCCGCUGCGGAGGGUCAGUCAACAACCUAGCAGCAGCAACAUUAGCCCGACGUGCAAUUUUACUGCAGAUAAGUAACUAACACUGCUUUACAUGGUAGCUCAAUUUCUAUAAUUGUAAAAUCUGUCAUGCAAAUCGCGUCUCAUGUUUUAUUUUAGAUAACGACGAGAGAAACCAUCUGACUGGUUCAGACGCCAGCAGUACGGUACCUCUCGCAUAUCCGGUCACGGAGGCAGGGAGGAGCAAAAUUGUCGAAGGAAAGGACUGAGGGAUGUCAUCGUACAGUGACAAAAUUUGUAGUUAAAGGCUUGCACUCAAUUGCCACUGUAGAAGCCCCUGAUUUCUGGAAUUUAAUGGAGGAGGCAUGAAACUCGCACUUCUCCACCUUGACAUUCUUCAGCAGGCGAAGAUUAGAAUAUCAUCAAGGUCCAGUUUGGUGAAAACCGUGACCCCCUUGGAGGGUCUCAAAUGUGGACAAGAGAAGGGGCAAGGAGUAGCGGUUCUUCAUCGUGACUUCGUUGAGCCCGCGAUAGUCGAUGCAAGGGCGGAAGGAGCCAUCCCUCUUCACACAAAAAAAAACAACCUGGCACUGGCGGGCGAGGAGGACAGUCGGAUGAUUCCAGCUGCCAGAGAGUUCUGGAUGUACUCCUCCAUUGCUUGGCAUUCCGGGUUGGACAGAGAAUAGAGCUAUCCCCUGGGAGGAGAAGUGCCAGGCAGGUGAUCGAUUGCGCAAGGGCGGUGUGGAGGAAGGGAGAUUGCCUUGGCCUUAUUGAAGACCUCCUUGAGUCUAUGAUAGCAGGAGGGCCAGUUCACGAUGUUGGUGUGUUGGUUGGUGGCAGGAUCUCUGGGUGGACUUGCCGCCUCCUUCAGGUAACGACAGGGAUGUCAAAGUCAAACACACCGAGGGCCAAAAAAACAUAUUUGCUACAAGCCGAGGGCCGGACUGGUUCAAUGUUUAUUAAAACAUAUCGAAAUGAUUGCACAUAGCCUAUUGAACCAAGACCUAACACAGUGUACAUUAUUUAAUAAUUAAAUGAAUAUGGCAAUAUUUUGUUAUGGCUCUGUCAGUAACUAAGUAAGGGAAAACAUUUUCAACAGCCAAACAGCAAAAAAUUUAAUUGUUUUUAAAAACAAAAUGUGUUUCUUAAUAUCAAGAUAAAUGCAUAAAUAAAAGUGCAUGCAUUAUAAACUGAAAAUGUAUUAUUGUGCUGCUCUAUGAUCUACCGAUCACUGCUUUCAAAUAGUAAAUUAAAAAAAUAAUUCAAAUCA
This is a long non-coding RNA of Syngnathus acus (greater pipefish), 1269 nucleotides long. RefSeq lists it as uncharacterized. The record is from RefSeq and is a predicted model, not a curated record. NCBI's taxonomy places the organism in Eukaryota, Metazoa, Chordata, Actinopteri, Syngnathiformes, Syngnathidae. The transcript is spliced from 3 exons.